UAAAACAGGAGCAUCAUUGAAAGAUUAGGUGAGAAUUACAGGAAAAAGGUCAAAGCAGUGGAAAAGAUGAGAAUAAUGCUUUUUAUCUUCACUGAGUUUUAUUGAAAAUGAACACAGGAAUAGUUCAUUUUAAUAGACGUAAGGUGUGUAACAUACUUUCUUCAGUGUGUAUUGUAUUCUUUCCAAGGUAUGGAAAACCUAUGCAAGUUUACAUAAUCUUCUUGGCUUUGGUUGCAAACCUAUCUAGUAAGUCAUAGCAUUGCUAAUUGUUAAGCUGUUGCUGGGAGUUCCAUAAAUGUAGGAUACCCCCACGAUGACAGCAGCUUAGUGAGCAAUCUGCAUGUCCCAGUUAGUUAAUUUAUAUGAGAGCAGAAACAAUGGGAAAUGGAAGCAGAUAGAAGUCUUGGAGACACAUAAAGACCCUUUGUUAUUGCUUCACUCAUAAUUUGCUGAAAUGAAAGGACAUGAUGUAGUAUUUUGCAUAUGAAUGUUAAUGGCCUUUGAGGGUACCUUGGCACUGGUUUCUUCCUAUCUCUUUGCUGGUUUGAGGAAUGACUGGGUAAAGAUUCAACAGCAUAUUGUCACUAAAAAAAUAGAGCCACCACAAAAUCCCACCUUAACAUCUCUCAUCUGUGUACAACAAGAAUAUAUAGCUUGUGGUUAUAAAGGGAUGAAACAUGUUUGGGGCCUCGAUCCUGCAGAGUAUUUUGAAUGCCUUCUAUUCCAGGGCCUGACCAUGAGCUGCUUCUCAGGAUUAUUCCUUGCAUCAACACUGUUGUCAUUUUUUGCCCGCAUGUCAAGGAAGUGCCUGUGUGACCCAGCCCUGCCAAAGCUCAUGGCAAACUAUUUCUUUGGAUAAAAUCUGCCAAGGUCUAACGUGUAGUGAUAGUUGUCCAUGCUACUGAGGAAAUCAUGCAGGUCUGGUGUCUCCACAAGUAGAAUUUGUGAAAGAAUAAUCAGGAAGGUGAAACUGCAAAGCCUGGUAAGUUGUUUUAGCUUGCUCAGGUCACAAUAGCAUUGACAUUUCCAGUUCAAAAAUAGAGCAUUUGUGUGCAAGUCCACCAAUAGUUUGGGUGUUUCUCUUGACAAAAACACUAUUUGGAGAAACAGCCUGUGAAAACGCUUCCGAAUCUUUCCUGGAUUAUGGUUUCCUAUAGCCAGCAAGCAAGGGCCUGCCAGACUUCUUCACGCUUUAUCUAGAUUGCUGUACUGCUUCCUUAUUUGUUUUUAGACACAUGAAGACCAUGAAAUAGGCUAAUGGGAUGAUGUCAUUUGUGCAGGCUGUUCAGGAAGACAAGCGUAUCUAGAAGGUGAACUAGGCACGAAAGCAGCUAAAAGGGAAAGAAGAUAGAAUUGCACAUGUGGACUAAAGGCCAGUCAGGAGGGUAGAGAGAGCAUGAAGCUGAUCUACAGGAGAAUAAAGCCUCCUGCUCUAGAUGCUGCUGCAUAGUUUACUUUGUCCUGCUCCUGUGCCACAUCAUUCCUCUGCCAACAGAGGGAGGUGGCUGCAAAGUCCAGGUAACAGCAAAUUCUUUGUCACCCCACAUCUGGGUUUAAAGUACAAUAUGCAGGAGCUUUUCCCUUAAAAAAAUCAAUAAAAAUCCUUCCUCUCAGUGGUUCUUGCCAUACUGGCAGAGUCUGGGUUAAAGUUUUCUGUGCUCAGAUUUUAGUAUCUGUUACCUUUACCAGGAAAUCAUGACACUUCAAAAGGAAAAAAAGGAUCACCAUUUUUUUUGCUGUUUUUCAGCAGUUAACAAACAUGUAGCAAAUGCAUGUGUGCUUUUAUUGCACUCGCAUGCAGCCAUGUAUGAGUGCAAGGCAUUUCCUGGAGAUUAGUAACUGGGUGGAAAUGAUUGUGGAUACAAGAGGCAGCCCAAAGGACACAAACUGGUUGUUAAUCCAUGGGAGGCUUUCUGUGCUGAGACUUACUGUUGUAAAUUGAAAUAAAAGGGACACAGGCCUGUAGAGGAGAAGCAGAGAUUAUUGCCCUUUGAGCAAUGGGGUUGCUGGCUUUUCCCUCUGCUUCCCCAUCAGUUUGUGUGCUGCUUCAUUAGGAACACUACAGCUAGCAAAGAACUGAUAGGAAGGGCUUACUCCAGAUCCAUUAUUUUUGUGAACUGCUUGCUAUUAAUGGUUUGGAUUUAAUAUGGGAAAUCAAUAAAAUCCAAGUUUAAACUGAGUGCAGAUUGUGUAGGAGUUUGUGUCAUUGUAGCUAAAUUGUUUUAAAGAAGAUGGUUAUACCAAACCCCACAUACACCUUCGGGCAUACAGCUGUGUGGUGUAUGUAGAGCUCAGGCCUGCCUGUUUGACUAAGACUUAGUCGAACAACUCCAUCAGAACAAAGUCUCAGUGUUGUAGAAUUGAGCUUUAUGGUCGUUGCACAAUGAGAAGUUCUCUCUUGCAUCAUAGCUGCUGGGUCUUCAGCUGCUGUGACAUCAGGUAUGUAGGUUUAAAAUACCCAGUGGCUGUCCCCAGUAAGGAUUGCAGUGCUGUGUUUCAGUUUCUAAAGGAAGAGACUGAUGUUCAAAGCCACUGAACAGUUUAAGGUGGGAGAUUGCAGAAAUCCCUAUUUAAACUACAAUAAACCCAGAAAGCUCUGAAAUCUGUUUUCCCAGUUCCUCUUUCCCCAUGUCUGUUUUGCCUUUGAAGCAAUAAUGAAGAACUUACUCUCUCUACUGCUCUGUGAACAGAACUGAGUCACUCCAUUUCAGCUACAGGCACAUUUCUCAGACAAGGUGGUGAUUUCUCUUAGUUUCUAUUUUAUUUUCCUGUUUGAGGGUUUAUAAGAACACCAGCUGUCUGUGUAAGAAAUGCUUUUUACUCACACCUGCUCUUUGAAUUUGACAGGCAGAGUCCAGUAGGAACUUGUUGGCUUUCAUUAAACCACCUGGAAAAAUGUCAUCACCUGUUAAGUAGGUGCCAGCUUCCCCUCCAGCAUCAGUGCACUUUGAGCCCCUUCUGAUGCAGGUAGCAGUACCUUGCUUACCUUCUCACUACAAGAUUAUUGUUUUAAUUGAAGAUGAAGGAAUGACAAGAAUUGAAGCUGAGUGGCAGACAUUAAGACAAGUAUGCAGACUCCUACAGUGGAGGUGGCUCUUGACCUCAGCACUUCAGGAUGACUGAAAGCAGUUGCUUGGUCUGCUGCUCUCCAGAGUAAGUCAGCGUGUCCUUGUUUCAGCUCAGAUAGUUAAUUUUCCUCCUGGUAGCUGUGGUUUAGCUUUAGUCUGAACAUAAUGCUGAUAACACACCAGUGUCAACACUGUCAAGAGUUCUCACUACCACAUUGAGCUUUAUAUAUGUGGGAGGAAGGGUGCAAAGAGAAGCAUUGUCACCCAAUUGUGAGGAGCUCUUCCUAAAGCAAACCAGAAAGCUUUCUCAAAUGCCUGCACUUUCCAAUUCUAUCUUUGGGCAUAUGAGCUUCUGAAUGAUAACUUAUGGUUAAUAGGUUUAAUCUUUUAGGUGUUUUACACCUUCUGUGAUUUGUUACUUUGCUUUGAAACAACAUAUUUAAGUGUAAAAUGAUAGACUUGGAAAAGUCAAAGACACUGGGGCUGUCUGGUACCUGUUGCAUUGUGUGUAGUGCUUAUGUGAACCAUUAUUUUCCAUAGUACAUUGUACCUCUACCCACUGAGUGGGGAGAAAAGCUGGAGGGCAAAAAUGUUAUGCACAACAACUGAAUUUUAAUGAGAGAUGUGAAGCCAGUUCUCAGGGUAACAAUUGUCCAGUCCUCUGUCUGCUCAGUUUUUCUACCAGAAGAGAUUGUUGCUUGGAGAAUAACUUUAGGAAAAAACAGGAAAUAAUUCUUUAUGUGGGUUUUUG
Neopsephotus bourkii (Bourke's parrot) is the source of this 3819-nucleotide long non-coding RNA. RefSeq lists it as uncharacterized. The transcript has 3 exons. NCBI's taxonomy places the organism in Eukaryota, Metazoa, Chordata, Aves, Psittaciformes, Psittacidae. The record is from RefSeq and is a predicted model, not a curated record.